GGAGGGUAAGCGAAUGGUUAGCGGCCUCACUGGAACUGAGGUGCCGGGAAACCGGUUGUGGGUUCGAGUCCCAUGCCCUCCG
RNAcentral lists this transfer RNA (82 nucleotides) under Planctomycetales bacterium. RNAcentral's name for it is "tRNA-Ser". It matches the Rfam family "tRNA". From Rfam's summary of the family: Transfer RNA (tRNA) molecules are approximately 80 nucleotides in length. Their secondary structure includes four short double-helical elements and three loops (D, anti-codon, and T loops). RNAcentral also lists the same sequence under 1 other name. Lineage: Bacteria; Pseudomonadati; Planctomycetota; Planctomycetia; Planctomycetales. The record is from RNAcentral.